GUCGAGGGGCAGCAUGGUCUUAGCUUGCUAAGGCCGAUGGCGACCGGCGCACGGGUGAGUAACACGUAUCCAACCUGCCGUCUACUCUUGGACAGCCUUCUGAAAGGAAGAUUAAUACAAGAUGGCAUCAUGAGUCCGCAUGUUCACAUGAUUAAAGGUAUUCCGGUAGACGAUGGGGAUGCGUUCCAUUAGAUAGUAGGCGGGGUAACGGCCCACCUAGUCUUCGAUGGAUAGGGGUUCUGAGAGGAAGGUCCCCCACAUUGGAACUGAGACACGGUCCAAACUCCUACGGGAGGCAGCAGUGAGGAAUAUUGGUCAAUGGGCGAGAGCCUGAACCAGCCAAGUAGCGUGAAGGAUGACUGCCCUAUGGGUUGUAAACUUCUUUUAUAAAGGAAUAAAGUCGGGUAUGGAUACCCGUUUGCAUGUACUUUAUGAAUAAGGAUCGGCUAACUCCGUGCCAGCAGCCGCGGUAAUACGGAGGAUCCGAGCGUUAUCCGGAUUUAUUGGGUUUAAAGGGAGCGUAGAUGGAUGUUUAAGUCAGUUGUGAAAGUUUGCGGCUCAACCGUAAAAUUGCAGUUGAUACUGGAUAUCUUGAGUGCAGUUGAGGCAGGCGGAAUUCGUGGUGUAGCGGUGAAAUGCUUAGAUAUCACGAAGAACUCCGAUUGCGAAGGCAGCCUGCUAAGCUGCAACUGACAUUGAGGCUCGAAAGUGUGGGUAUCAAACAGGAUUAGAUACCCUGGUAGUCCACACGGUAAACGAUGAAUACUCGCUGUUUGCGAUAUACUGCAAGCGGCCAAGCGAAAGCGUUAAGUAUUCCACCUGGGGAGUACGCCGGCAACGGU
This 842-nucleotide ribosomal RNA is filed under the name uncultured bacterium. RNAcentral's name for it is "bacterial SSU rRNA". It matches the Rfam family "Bacterial small subunit ribosomal RNA", at positions 61 to 895 of the family's 1533-position model. The record is from RNAcentral.